Molecule: ribosomal RNA, 433 nt
Filed under: uncultured bacterium
Lineage: Bacteria
Description: partial 16S ribosomal RNA
Rfam family: Bacterial small subunit ribosomal RNA
Source: RNAcentral
AGCGAACGCUGGCGGCAGGCCUAACACAUGCAAGUCGAACGAACUCUUCGGAGUUAGUGGCGGACGGGUGAGUAACACGUGGGAACGUGCCUUUAGGUUCGGAAUAACUCAGUGAAACUUGUGCUAAUACCGAAUGUGCCCUUCGGGGGAAAGAUUUAUCGCCUUUAGAGCGGCCCGCGUCUGAUUAGCUAGUUGGUGAGGUAAUGGCUCACCAAGGCGACGAUCAGUAGCUGGUCUGAGAGGAUGAUCAGCCACAUUGGGACUGAGACACGGCCCAAACUCCUACGGGGAGCAGCAGUGGGGAAUCUUGCGCAAUGGGCGAAAGCCUGACGCCGCCAUGCCGCGUGAAUGAUGAAGGUCUUAGGAUUGUAAAAUUCUUUCACCGGGGACGAUAAUGACGGUACCCGGAGAAGAAGCCCCGGCUAACUUCGUG